AGCAGCCGCGGUAAUUCCAGCUCCAAUAGCGUAUAUUAAAGUUGUUGCAGUUAAAAAGCUCGUAGUUGAAUUUCGGGGUUAGUAGGUUGGUCAUGCCUCUGGUAUGUACUGGUCUCACUGAUUCCUCCUUCCUGAUGAACCUUAAUGCCAUUAAUUUGGUGUUUUGGGGAAUUUGGACUGUUACUUUGAAAAAUUAGAGUGUUUAAAGCAAGCUAACGCUUGAAUACAUUAGCAUGGAAUAAUGAAAUAGGACGUUCGAUCCUAUUUUGUUGGUUUCUAGGAUUGACGUAAUGAUUAAUAGGGAUAGUUGGGGGCAUUAGUAUUCAAUUGUCAGAGGUGAAAUUCUUGGAUUUAUUGAAGACUAACUACUGCGAAAGCAUUUGCCAAGGAUGUUUUCAUUAAUCAAGAACGAAAGUUAGGGGAUCGAAGACGAUCAGAUACCGUCGUAGUCUUAACCAUAAACUAUGCCGACUAGGGAUCGGAUGAUGUUAAUU
RNAcentral lists this ribosomal RNA (494 nucleotides) under uncultured Glomus. RNAcentral describes it as "SSU rRNA". It matches the Rfam family "Eukaryotic small subunit ribosomal RNA", at positions 569 to 1068 of the family's 1831-position model. The record is from RNAcentral. Lineage: Eukaryota; Fungi; Glomeromycota; Glomeromycetes; Glomerales; Glomeraceae.